UUGGAUGUUAUGAUAUAGUUUGACUCUAAACAAGCUAGGUGGGAGCUUGGAAAGGAACGGGUCAAACGAAUGAUGGAUGCGAAGGAUGUUUGCGCGGACGCGAGGGUAAAACGGCUUAUGGAAUUUACGUGGCUAUGAAUCAGCAAAUUAUUAAGGCAAGGUAUUAAAACGGGUCAAUACUUUGACCCGCGCCAGGUACAUUUUGGAUGCCGGAAGACGAUCAAGCUCGACGAAGGACCGAACACGAUAUAGAUACAUGCUUACGCACUCUAACACAUUGCAAAU
Long non-coding RNA from Helianthus annuus (common sunflower), 285 nucleotides. RefSeq lists it as uncharacterized. Lineage: Eukaryota; Viridiplantae; Streptophyta; Magnoliopsida; Asterales; Asteraceae. The transcript has 3 exons. The record is from RefSeq and is a predicted model, not a curated record.